RNAcentral lists this ribosomal RNA (250 nucleotides) under uncultured prokaryote. RNAcentral describes it as "partial 16S ribosomal RNA". It matches the Rfam family "Bacterial small subunit ribosomal RNA", at positions 524 to 773 of the family's 1533-position model. The record is from RNAcentral.
UACGGAGGGUGCGAGCGUUGUCCGGAAUCAUUGGGCGUAAAGAGUUCGUAGGCGGACUUGUAAGUCAGAUGUUAAAGGCGCGUGCUUAACACGUGUAUGGCAUUUGAUACUGUAAGACUAGAAUGCGGUAGAGGUAAAGGGAAUUCCCGGUGUAGCGAUGAAAUGCGUAGAUAUCGGGAGGAACAUCGGAGGCGUAAGCGCUUUACUGGGCCGUAAUUGACGCUGAGGAACGAAAGCCGGGGUAGCAAAU